This 1306-nucleotide ribosomal RNA is filed under the name uncultured bacterium. Its description in RNAcentral is "bacterial SSU rRNA". It matches the Rfam family "Bacterial small subunit ribosomal RNA", at positions 28 to 1381 of the family's 1533-position model. The record is from RNAcentral.
AACGUACGCUGGCGGCACGCUUAACACAUGCAAGUCGAACGAAGUAGCAAUACUUAGUGGCAGACGGGUGAGUAACAUGUGGGUAUCUGCCCUUUGGCCUGGAAUAACACGAGGAAACUUGUGCUAAUACUGGAUAAGUCUUUACGGAGAAAGCUUUAUGCACCAUUGGAUGAGCCCGCACUUGAUUAGUUUGUUGGUGGGGUAAUGGCCUACCAAGACUGUGAUCAAUAGCUGAUUUGAGAGGAUGAUCAGCCACAUUGGGACUGAGACACGGCCCAAACUCCUACGGGAGGCAGCAGUGGGGAAUCUUGCACAAUGGAGGAAACUCUGAUGCAGCGAUGCCGCGUGAGUGAAGAAGGCCCUUGGGUUGUAAAGCUCUUUCGUCGGGGAAGAAAAUGACUGUACCCGAAUAAGAAGGUCCGGCUAACUUCGUGCCAGCAGCCGCGGUAAUACGAAGGGACCUAGCGUAGUUCGGAAUUACUGGGCUUAAAGAGUUCGUAGGUGGUUGAAAAAGUUAGUGGUGAAAUCCCAGAGCUUAACUCUGGAACUGCCAUUAAAACUUUUCAGCUAGAGUAUGAUAGAGGAAAGCAGAAUUUCUAGUGUAGAGGUGAAAUUCGUAGAUAUUAGAAAGAAUACCAAUUGCGAAGGCAGCUUUCUGGAUCAUUACUGACACUGAGGAACGAAAGCAUGGGUAGCGAAGAGGAUUAGAUACCCUCGUAGUCCAUGCCGUAAACGAUGUGUGUUAGACGUUGGAAAUUUAUUUUCAGUGUCGCAGCGAAAGCGAUAAACACACCGCCUGGGGAGUACGACCGCAAGGUUAAAACUCAAAUGAAUUGACGGGGACCCGCACAAGUAGUGGAGCAUGUGGUUUAAUUCGAAGAUACGCGCAGAACCUUACCAACACUUGACAUGUUCGUCGCGACUCUAAGAGAUUAGAGUUUUCGGUUCAGCCGGACGAAACACAGGUGCUGCAUGGCUGUCGUCAGCUCGUGUCGUGAGAUGUUGGGUUAAGUCCCGCAACGAGCGCAACCCUCACUUUUAGUUGCCAUCAUUAAGUUGGGCACUCUGAAAGAACUGCCAGUGAUAAGCUGGAGGAAGGUGGGGAUGACGUCAAGUCCUCAUGGCCCUUACGUGUUGGGCUACACACGUGCUACAAUGGUAUCUACAACAGGAAGCAAGACUGCGAGGUCAAGCAAAUCCUUAAAAGAUACCUCAGUUCGGAUUGCACUCUGCAACUCGAGUGCAUGAAGCUGGAAUUACUAGUAAUCGUGGAUCAGCGUGCCACGGUGAAUGCGUUCCCGGGUCU